This 486-nucleotide ribosomal RNA is filed under the name uncultured bacterium. RNAcentral describes it as "partial 16S ribosomal RNA". It matches the Rfam family "Bacterial small subunit ribosomal RNA", at positions 30 to 507 of the family's 1533-position model. The record is from RNAcentral.
AUUGAACGCUGGCGGCAUGCCUUACACAUGCAAGUCGAGCGGCAGCACGGGUGCUUGCACCUGGUGGCGAGUGGCGAACGGGUGAGUAAUACAUCGGAACAUGUCCUGUAGUGGGGGAUAGCCCGGCGAAAGCCGGAUUAAUACCGCAUACGAUCUACGGAGGAAAGCGGGGGACCUUCGGGCCUCGCGCUAUAGGGUUGGCCGAUGGCUGAUUAGCUAGUUGGUGGGGUAAAGGCCUACCAAGGCGACGAUCAGUAGCUGGUCUGAGAGGACGACCAGCCACACUGGGACUGAGACACGGCCCAGACUCCUACGGGAGGCAGCAGUGGGGAAUUUUGGACAAUGGGCGAAAGCCUGAUCCAGCAAUGCCGCGUGUGUGAAGAAGGCCUUCGGGUUGUAAAGCACUUUUGUCCGGAAAGAAAUCCUUGGCUCUAAUACAGUCGGGGGAUGACGGUACCGGAAGAAUAAGCACCGGCUAACUACGUG